GUGCCAGCCGCCGCGGUAAGACGAACCGUGCGAACGUUGUUCGGAUUCACUGGGCUUAAAGGGCGCGUAGGCGGGCUCACCAGUCAGGGGUGAAAGCUCCCGGCUCAACCGGGAAAGUGCCUUUGAUACUGUGAGUCUCGAGGGAGGUAGGGGCACGCGGAACUUCCGGUGGAGCGGUGAAAUGCGUAGAUAUCGGAAGGAACGCCGGUGGCGAAAGCGGCGUGCUGGACCUCUUCUGACGCUGAGGCGCGAAAGCCAGGGGAGCAAACGGGAUUAGAAACCCGUGUAGUCC
RNAcentral lists this ribosomal RNA (292 nucleotides) under uncultured bacterium. Its description in RNAcentral is "partial 16S ribosomal RNA". It matches the Rfam family "Bacterial small subunit ribosomal RNA", at positions 505 to 796 of the family's 1533-position model. The record is from RNAcentral.